CAGUAACAUAUCCCAAAUUCUACUGUCCUAGCUGCUACUAGGAAAACUAGUUAUAAUAUUAUGAGCAUCUGCUUCUUCUUCGUUGGGGUUAGGGACCUCAAUGUCUUGUUCCUUUUCAUUUUUCUUCUUUAAAUUUGUCCCUCCAUCAAUAAAUUCCAAUCCAAUGCCCUAUGCCUAGAACACUUAUGUUCGGUGUUGCCCCAAAAAGUCAGGUUGAUUAGAAGGGAGAGGUUCAGCCAAAAAAACAAAAAAAAUAGAAGGGAGAGGGGCAGCUCUAAAUUUGGGAUUAAAGUUCCAACUCAUAUUAUGAUAUUCACCUUCUGUGAGUUGAUUCCAUGUAAUUUUUCUUAUUUUGUUGUCAUUCAUAGUAUCAUCCAUUAUUUAAAGCUAUAUCCAUGCUCCGCAAUUUUAUAUGGCUAAAACAUCAAAUAUCACUAAACAUUUCUUGAGUCCUUGGCAUAUUGCCUCACUUAAGGCAAUUCAGAGUACAAGACCUAGGGACUUUGUGCACCCUUGUUCGAGCAUACCUUUGACAACUAUGCAUUGCAUACAAGCAGGGGUGGAGCCAUAAUAUUUUUUCAUUGGGGCCAUUCAAUAAGUCGAUUCAUGAUCAUUAGAUAACUAGCAAUUUAUCAUUGGGGCCAAGCAUAUAAUGGAAUAAGAUUCAAGAUGAAUUCCUGAAGCUGAAUUAGAAGUCUUAAAUUUGAUUCCUAAUCUCACUGAUAUUUCAAAUAUUGAAAAAAAUUUAUGACAAAUAAAAUAAACUACAAGUAAAAAAACAAACAAUAUCAUAGAUAUGAAGAUAUAUAUGCACCAUAUGAGGUUGCAAAGUGUCCAAAUUUGAGUCCUUUUGCAUAGUUAAAUCAAAAUAUUAAAUUGAUAUGAACUUUUUCAUUAUUUUUUGAAUAAUUUCACUGGGUCAAUUGAGUGAAAGACUCAACAAAAGUUUUAUGUAGUACCUGUAUGUUUCAUGUUUCCCUAAAACUGAUUGGAGUUGACUCCAAUCAGUGACAAAAAGCCUUGCCCAUGCAUAUGAGGUGCUGUAAGAAAACUUAAAAUAUGAUGGAUUUUAUCUUGGGCAUUAUUUCUUGGAAAAUUUCCAGAUCUCUGUUUUCCAUGACUGAGGUUUUAUGGGAGGCAUUUUUGUAAGGGGCAAGCUUAGUAUUCACAGUCCUUUUAUCUUGAUAGAGAGCGUCCAAAGUACCAAAUAAAGGAUGCAGAAACUCCUAGGAAUGGUCCAAGAACAUUAGGAGAGGCAUCCGAUACUGUGAAGGUGACUA
This 1280-nucleotide unclassified non-coding RNA is filed under the name Hevea brasiliensis (rubber tree). Lineage: Eukaryota; Viridiplantae; Streptophyta; Magnoliopsida; Malpighiales; Euphorbiaceae. The record is from RNAcentral.